This 430-nucleotide ribosomal RNA is filed under the name uncultured bacterium. Its description in RNAcentral is "bacterial SSU rRNA". It matches the Rfam family "Bacterial small subunit ribosomal RNA", at positions 335 to 758 of the family's 1533-position model. The record is from RNAcentral.
ACUCCUACGGGAGGCAGCAGUGGGGAAUAUUGCACAAUGGGCGCAAGCCUGAUGCAGCCAUGCCGCGUGUGUGAAGAAGGCCUUCGGGUUGUAAAGCACUUUCAGUCGUGAGGAAGGUAGUGUAGUUAAUAGCUGCAUUAUUUGACGUUAGCGACAGAAGAAGCACCGGCUAACUCCGUGCCAGCAGCCGCGGUAAUACGGAGGGUGCGAGCGUUAAUCGGAAUUACUGGGCGUAAAGCGCAUGCAGGUGGUUUGUUAAGUCAGAUGUGAAAGCCCGGGGCUCAACCUCGGAAUAGCAUUUGAAACUGGCAGACUAGAGUACUGUAGAGGGGGUUAGAAUUUCAGGUGUAGCGGUGAAAUGCGUAGAGAUCUGAAGGAAUACCGGUGGCGAAGGCGGCCCCUGGACAGAUACUGACACUCAGAUGCGAAA